GCCCGCAGCCGGCGGCGGAGCGGGAGGCAGGCGGCUGAGACGGGCGCGCCAUUUGCAUUCGCCCGCAGUCAUUUUUAUCCGCGGAGGAUUUCAAAGCCCCAAACAGAUCCACCCACUGAGGCGGCUGAGAAAAGGAGUUCGGCAGGUGCAGCGCUGUCAGGAGAUGAGACAAGCUAGACACACACCUGCUCUGAGACAGGGUACUUUCAGCAUCGAUCAACAGAAAACCUUGAGUCAACUUGCUAACCUGUGGGCUGACAUGGGGGCAGCCUUGUCCGGUGGGACCGUCUAAGACGAUGGGAAUGUCCAGUACGGCAGCCAUGAGCCACGUGUGGCCAGUGAGCACUUGAAAUGUGCCAGCGUGACUAAGGAAGCAUUGUGUUAGAGAGCUUCAUUCCCCACAACGUACCCACCCAGAUGCAGUGCUUCCUGGAAUGAACCAUGGUCUCCGUUUUUAUUCAAGUGAAAAUGGAUUGAAUGGGAAAACGAAAUAGGCAUGAAGCUGCCGGCCCUGAGGUCUCUGCUUGGAGAGAGUAUCCGAAUAACUGGGAGCAAGUGGGUUUCCAUAGACUUUAC
RNAcentral lists this long non-coding RNA (576 nucleotides) under Sus scrofa (pig). RNAcentral's name for it is "lncRNA (ENSSSCG00060070338.1)". Lineage: Eukaryota; Metazoa; Chordata; Mammalia; Artiodactyla; Suidae. The record is from RNAcentral.